CAAUCGCUUUAUGUUUGUAAUUAGUUGUCCAUUUCAUUUCCAUAUGCUUUUAAUAAUGAAUACAACAACAAGCCUUAUUUACAUUCUGAGACAUCUGGGUAUACAUCAGGCAGAAUCAGAACACAUCUUAAUCGUAAAUUUCUACUUCUUUUGUAGACUAUCAAGUUUAAAGAGCCAUUUUUUAAGCCGCCCGUGGUACUUGCAACAGUCCUCAAUGGAGACAGUAACAGUGCCAACAUAGCUUGCUCUCACAAAGGUCCUCUAGCAAAUUGGCUGGAGGUAGUGAACAAAACCCACAGCCGAGUUUGCAUCAAGGACAGCGCGGGGUACAAUGGCCAGAGAACGGAUGUUAUCGUCAACUUUCUGGUAAUCGGAGACCUUGAUCCAUGUAGAGAUAUUAUCUGCACAUACCACAGUUUCUGCAAAGCCUACACCCCUACCAAGCAUGACCGCAUUUGUGAAGAAAAUUGCCCGUCAUACGAAGAGCAAGUAUGCGGCUCUAACGGUCUCACUUUUGAUAACCUGUGUUUGCUGCAAAAAGACAUAUGUACACGACGUGCAAAUUACACCAAGUACCAUCCUGGAAGCUGCACAGGUAAUGGGAA
Unclassified non-coding RNA from Orbicella faveolata, 605 nucleotides. Lineage: Eukaryota; Metazoa; Cnidaria; Anthozoa; Scleractinia; Merulinidae. The record is from RefSeq and is a predicted model, not a curated record.